AUUGAACGCUGGCGGCAUGCUUUACACAUGCAAGUCGAACGGCAGCGCGGGCUUCGGGCUGGCGGCGAGUGGGGAACGGGUGAGUAAUGCAUCGGAACGUGCCCCGCAGUGGGGGAUAGCACGGCGAAAGCCGGAUUAAUACCGCAUACGACCUGAGGGUGAAAGCGGGGGACCGAAAGGCCUCGCGCUAUUGGAGCGGCCGAUGUCGGAUUUGCUAGUUGGUGGGGUAAAGGCUUACCAAGGCGACGAUCCGUAGCUGGUCUGAGAGGACGACCGGCCACACUGGGACUGAGACACGGCCCAGACUCCUACGGGAGGCAGCAGUGGGGAAUUUUGGGCAAUGGGGGCAACCCUGACACAGCCAUGCCGCGUGCGAGAAGAAGGCCUUCGGGUUGUAAACCGCUUUUGUUCGGGAAGAAAUCCUCUGGGCUAAUACCCCGGGGGGAUGACGGUACCGGAAGAAUAAGCACCGGCUAACUACGUG
Molecule: ribosomal RNA, 484 nt
Filed under: uncultured bacterium
Lineage: Bacteria
Description: partial 16S ribosomal RNA
Rfam family: Bacterial small subunit ribosomal RNA
Source: RNAcentral